UGUGAGUUAAAACGUGGAGGUCCAGGAAGUGACUGGCUAAAGGCAAAUCCUAUGACUUUAUCCCAAAAUGUAGGCCCGUCUUCCAGAUGACUCACGUGGUACAGUGGCUUACUCCAGAUGAGGGAUGUGCCCAUAAUUUGUUUAAGCAGUUCUCUAUUGACAGACAUUUAGACAGCCAGUCUUUUGCAAUUAAGCAUUGAUCCAUUUGGAACUGAUUCAGUAUAUGGGGUGAGGUAAGAAUCCAAAUUUUUUUUUUCCAGAUGGCUACAUAGUUUGCCGUUUCUUGACCAUUUGUUGAAGAGUUCACUUCGAGACUGUUUUGUUCCGAUGGCCUAUCUAUUCAUGCUCCAGUUGCUGGUUUGUUUUAAAUUCAGAGACAUAAAAUCUUGUGAGGGAUAGUGUUUCACACUUUGUUUGGAUCACCUGAAAUCUUAGAGCUAAUAUUUCAGCCCGUGUGAAGCAACGGUUCAGUACCAUGUGGUAUGCAUUUUCUGUGGGCUAAUUUUUAUUUUCCCUUUGCCCUGAUUAUUUCCACAAUUUGUUUUAUUUUUUUGUAGAACAAGCCAGAAUAUAAAUAUACCUUUGUUUAAGACUCUCUGUUUGCAUGUAACGGAAACCAACCUGAAACAGCUUAACCAAAAGGAAAGAAUUUAUCAUAAGGAUGUAGGAACUUCUUACAAAUGCCCAGAGCGGGAAGACAGCUACCUCCUAGCAAAAGACUAGAACCAGGAGUUGGAAAACUUCCAGGAACCCAAAAGGUACUCUCUGUAAUCCUCCUUCUGUGAUUAUUUUCUGGGUGUCUGCCUCCUUGUGCAUCUCUCUCUCUCUACUGACUGGUUCUCUCUGCUUUUCCACCUACACAGGAGAAUACAGCCACCUCCACAUUCAGCUAGGAAGUCAGCUCGGUGUGGGCGUCAGAGCCCAAACAAGGAGGGUAGGGAGGCGGUCCUGCAGAGUCAGGUGACUAAUCAAAGACAGGGGGACUACACAAAGAAACACUAUGUCAAGGAUAAUGGGAGCCAGAUUUCUCAUUCUUAAAAUACAGGAAAGGGAAUAGCAAGAAGGCUUGAGGGAUUGCAUUGGAAUUGGAAAUACUGAUGUGAAUACGACGUUUGCAGUAUGUGUAGAUAUAAAAAUAAAUAUAAAUGUGAAAGUA
Molecule: non-coding RNA, 1156 nt
Organism: Sus scrofa (pig)
Lineage: Eukaryota; Metazoa; Chordata; Mammalia; Artiodactyla; Suidae
Source: RefSeq, a predicted model, not a curated record